UCGUAAGUCAAUAAAACCAGAAAUGUU
This 27-nucleotide non-coding RNA is filed under the name Bombyx mori (domestic silkworm). Lineage: Eukaryota; Metazoa; Arthropoda; Insecta; Lepidoptera; Bombycidae. The record is from RNAcentral.